GCAGAGACCCUUGUCCAGGAGAGAGGUUUGAGAACUUUGGCUCCAGGAUCUCUUUGUGGGAAUGUAAAAGGUAGUCUUUGGGGACUUCCCUGGUGGUCCAGUGGUUAAGACUGUGCGGUCCCAAUGCAGGGGGCCUGGUUCAAUCCCUGGUCAGCGAACUAGAUCCCGCAUGCAGGCCGCAACUAAAGGAGGCACAUGCCACAACUAAGACCCAGCACAGCUAAAUAAAUA
This is a long non-coding RNA of Orcinus orca (killer whale), 231 nucleotides long. RefSeq lists it as uncharacterized. NCBI's taxonomy places the organism in Eukaryota, Metazoa, Chordata, Mammalia, Artiodactyla, Delphinidae. The record is from RefSeq and is a predicted model, not a curated record. The transcript has 2 exons.